AUAGCUCUAUAUUCUUGUAUAUUCAGGCACAGUAAUGGGAGCCAUAUAAAUGCCUCACCAAGGCAGAUAAAAUAGCAGGAGGCAGAGAUAAUCCCUGGCAUGUCUCCUGGGUACCUCCCCUCUACAUAUGAAUCAUGUUUCAUCCAGGCAGAUCUGAUUUAUGCCCCUAUCUAUGACCAAACAUUUGGCAGCACCAGUCAGAUGUGGAAGGAAAAUCCAGUUAGAAAUAAAUCUAUGGAAUGGUAUCUAUCUGCUAGUUCCAAGCAAUACAAAUGGGAUACUGUAGAUGACAAACAACUCUGGAGCAACCUGUACAAAGAAGCAUUAAAAAAAUGUAGUGAGGAAGUUUAAAAGGAAUUCAGAAGAUAAUCUGAGAAAGCUGCAAGGCCCCGGCACCACCAAGACAGGCUCACAUACCAAACUUGAAGCAUGUGAACAGCAAGUGGAAGAAUGGGAGCAUGGGAGGAGCGAGGCUCAAGAGACCACAGUGCACAACAAUAUGUUUGCUAAUGAUCUGUUUGCUUUAGAGCAAAAGUUUAUUA
Lagopus leucura (white-tailed ptarmigan) is the source of this 542-nucleotide long non-coding RNA. RefSeq lists it as uncharacterized. The transcript is spliced from 3 exons. The record is from RefSeq and is a predicted model, not a curated record. Lineage: Eukaryota; Metazoa; Chordata; Aves; Galliformes; Phasianidae.